CAGACUUUAACUGCGUCCUACAGGACUGAACUAUGAUCCGAGCGACGCGUCUGUUUACGUGAAUGUCUCGGGGCGAGAAACACGGCGAAAGGUGUUUGUAUGCCCGUGAACAGGAAAAUAUACCAGCAGGUAGCAGUCACUGAUGCUUACUGCCCUUGUUCUGUUAAUAAUCCAUGGGAGUAGCUCAUUUUGACCCAGUUGUAAAUAAAAGAAGUGCUGCAAUGAACAGUUCUGUACUAUAAAGCAAGACUGCAAGUUUUCACUUCCUUAGCGAGUAGAUGAAUCUGGACAAUUUUAAGAAGUCAUAGAAAUUCACGCAUAAUCACGAAUUAAAUGCGAUAACAAAUCAAAGUUGGACGUAAAAUGCGCUGUUUUGAAAUUUGCCCUGUCGUUUGUCCCAGGAUUUAUGAAGAUUAAUUCAACAGUUGAAGGGUGGAAAUAAAUCCGACAAAAUAGGCAUCUAUGUCAUGUGUUAAUUUUAUAAACAACCCAAAAAUUUUGCUAAUCCUAAACUGUUCCUCACUUGUUUCUUCUUGACUAUCUAUCUACAAACGAAAGACGGCAGACCAUUUGGAACCAUGCUACAAGUCAGUCCGACCUUCAUCGUCACAGAGAAUACUGCGAGAAGAGUGCGCACCCAUGCAAGUUAAAUAAAACCAGAACAUGGGAGAGGUUAGGUGCUGUGAAAUUAACUUUUGAGACGAAUGUUCCUAUAAACAAUUAUCAUACCGACGAGUGUGCUUGGGAUGGGUCGUUAGCUUAAUUAUUUGUUUUAUAUAAUAACUAUUUAUGUUUUAUAUAAUAUAACUUUCGUCUACCUGACCACAUGAUAUGUUUAAAGUUCAUAUCGCUUUACUUACGUAAAAGCCCAUAAUGGCUGUAAUUGAAUAUGUUUUGUUUUUAGUAAAUAAUUUUUAUCUUUUUUAGUACACACCUAUUUUGUAUUUAUCUGUCAGAAAACUUACCUUAUUGUUUUCAUUGAACGCUCGCUUCUAUUAUUUAGGCUUCUUCACGAUUGAAUCCAAGUCCCCAAUCUCUGUAAUUAAAAAAAAACAAUCUAUCACUAUUAGUUUUUUUCGGUUACCCUGACAACUUAUUGCUAUCACUUUCGUCUACUUGACCAUAUAAUGACGUAUAUUCAUUAUACGCAUUGUGAUCAAAUGUUUUUUUGAUCACAAUGACACCAGCCAUUUAAACAUUUACGGUUUCAAGCUUUUUUAAUUUUUUUGAUACAUGGGAUAAAAAAUAAUAUUAAAUAAUAUACGUUAAUGAUAUAAUACAAAUUUUCAAUUUUCAAUAGAAGUACGUGCUCUUUCUUCGUAUAUGCUAAGAAAGGAGAAGUUUGGAAUGCAAAUAUGUUCAAGUGUUUAUUUAUUUAGUUACACAUCUUGUCAUAAUCAUUGUCAUAAGAUGACAAUGAUUCAUCAUUUUUUAAUUUUUCACACUAUCUUACACAACGUUUUUGUCAUCAACUAAUUUUUUUUGGAACGUGUGUGAAAAUACAGUACCAGUGUUUUAACUCUGCUCCCCUCCAUAACUUUUAAUAGGCUUUUCCAAGUGCGACUAAACUUGAUACAAAAUGGAUGCAGUGGUACCUGCUUUAAACUUAAUUCCUUUAAUUUUUAAUGAUAGGCAAACUCGUUAUUUAAAAUAUUUUUUCUUUUUUAAUUUUCGAAGAAAAUCCGAAAAAAUCGAGAAGUCGGGUUAAUAAAUACAAAACAAAAUUAAUCCCCUUGACGAAAUAUAGUUGUGUUAAGAGUUUAAUGUUUUUAAGAUAAGAAUUUCUUUUAAAUAUAAGGGGUAUUUUUGAGUAAUAGUCAAUACAUACCACUCUGAGAGGGUUAAAAAGGUUUUUUGGUACUCCGUUUUUGCUAAGCAAUAAAUAGGGCGACUUUUUGUUUGAAAUUUAUAUCUAUUUAAGUGUUUAUUUGUUUAAUUGCACACAGCUUUUCAUAAGAUGGCAUGAGUCAGUUCUUGUACUUUCUGUAUCGAUUUCUCUUAUCAAAAUCUAUACUUGACCGAACUUUCGCUAUUUUAUUGAAACUUGCCAUUUCAUUUUCCAAUAUCCUAUAAUUACAGUUUCUAUAACCCGUCAUGACAACAACAAUGACAAUAA
This is a long non-coding RNA of Hydractinia symbiolongicarpus, 2116 nucleotides long. RefSeq lists it as uncharacterized. The record is from RefSeq and is a predicted model, not a curated record. Lineage: Eukaryota; Metazoa; Cnidaria; Hydrozoa; Anthoathecata; Hydractiniidae. The transcript is spliced from 4 exons.